RNAcentral lists this ribosomal RNA (465 nucleotides) under Vreelandella stevensii. Its description in RNAcentral is "partial 16S ribosomal RNA". It matches the Rfam family "Bacterial small subunit ribosomal RNA", at positions 338 to 795 of the family's 1533-position model. The record is from RNAcentral. Lineage: Bacteria; Pseudomonadati; Pseudomonadota; Gammaproteobacteria; Oceanospirillales; Halomonadaceae.
CCUACGGGGGGCUGCAGUGGGGAAUAUUGGACAAUGGGGGGAACCCUGAUCCAGCCAUGCCGCGUGUGUGAAGAAGGCCCUCGGGUUGUAAAGCACUUUCAGUGAGGAAGAACGCCUGGUGGUUAAUACCCAUCAGGAAAGACAUCACUCACAGAAGAAGCACCGGCUAACUCCGUGCCAGCAGCCGCGGUAAUACGGAGGGUGCGAGCGUUAAUCGGAAUUACUGGGCGUAAAGCGCGCGUAGGUGGCUUGAUAAGCCGGUUGUGAAAGCCCCGGGCUCAACCUGGGAACGGCAUCCGGAACUGUCGAGCUAGAGUGCAGGAGAGGAAGGUAGAAUUCCCGGUGUAGCGGUGAAAUGCGUAGAGAUCGGGAGGAAUACCAGUGGCGAAGGCGGCCUUCUGGACUGACACUGACACUGAGGUGCGAAAGCGUGGGUAGCAAACAGGAUUAGAUACCCCUGUAGUC